GCUCCGCUAGCUCAAUGGAUAGAGCAGUUCCGUCCUAAGGAAAAGGUUGUCUGUUCGAGUCAGACGCGGAGUACCA
RNAcentral lists this transfer RNA (76 nucleotides) under Candidatus Nomurabacteria bacterium. RNAcentral's name for it is "tRNA-Arg". The record is from RNAcentral. Lineage: Bacteria; Candidatus Nomuraibacteriota.